RNAcentral lists this long non-coding RNA (1741 nucleotides) under Calidris pugnax (ruff). RNAcentral's name for it is "lncRNA (ENSCPUG00000006756.1)". The record is from RNAcentral. Lineage: Eukaryota; Metazoa; Chordata; Aves; Charadriiformes; Scolopacidae.
GGCUUUGGUUGUGCAAAGAAAUCCCGGCUCGGUCGAUUAUCUCUCUGGAAAGCUGCUUUGGGAGGUGCUUUUGUAGCUGCUGUGAGUGGAAGUGUGGGCAGAAGCCUUGCAGCCCCCGGGGAGCCCGCUCUUGCUGUUACUCGCGUCCCGUUGUUGGAUGAAGCGGUGGGGCAGGGCCGGCCUUGCCAACAGGAGGUAGAUCCUCCUGCAUCUUUUGCCAGGCAGGCUGCUGAACCGAGGUGCCAAGUAUGUCCUGGCAGGGCUUGCUCCUUGCGUCAGGUAUUGGAUCCGCUGCCGUUCCGAGGGUAGUGAAACCCCACACUUGCUUUUCUCCAUGUGCUCAUGACUGGUUUUAUCAAACGUAGGGGGCCGUUUCCAUUGGGCAUGGACGAUAGGUGAAAUGUGCUUCGUUUGUUUAGUGAGAAUUCCAGCUUGUCCCUUUGUGCAGGGUCACUGGAGUUUCUGUGGACUUGUUAACCUCGCCUUCACCUCGGGUGAUUGAAAGAGGCAGGGCUGGAAAAAUCCCUCGGCGUUGCUUUGAAACACUUGAUACUCGGUAUCAACUAAAAGAUGAGGAUUGCUGGAAAACUGUCUGUCUUGUCAAAAUAUUUUGCAGCGCAGGAUGGAGGUACUUCUACCUGUGUAGCCUGUGGAUAAACUGUAAUGAAAGCGGUUGACGACUGAGCACAAGUUCUGUGAGAGCUGGGAAAAAGGUCAAGCUGCAUCCAGCUUAAGCAUUGCAGCCUGAUUUUGGGAAUGCGACGUCUCUGGAGGUGAUGGUGCAUGAUCCAUCCUCGACUCCUGAGAUUUCAGAUAUGGACUUUGAUGUUGAUGCUCUCUUCAAUGAAUCUCAGACAACUCCUUCGACAACAACAGCUAAAAAGAAGGACGUCCUGACGUGCUUCGUGGACAUCCUGAAGCACGUAGCUGAAUUUGACCCCACGGGGGAGACCCCCUUUCAGCUUUCAGCCAUCACGCCCCCCAUCAACGAGACCAAGGAAACUCUUUUGUCAAAACUCUGCGGGACGUCUGCUGAAAGUAUAGAAAACCUAGAAGACCUCCUAAUGACAUUUGAACCUACACCAUCUACAACACCUACACCACCAGCAGUCCUGACAGCCCAAACUGGCCCAGAUCUUUCUGUUUCAUGCGUUUAUACGUCUAUUCGGCUGAUGAAAGCGCUGAAAGAACUAGCUGAAAUACUUGAAACCGCGGCUACGAAAAAGAAAAACAAGGCUCUCGGUCAGUUAAUAAAUGGAUUUAGUGAGAUCUUGGAAGGAUGUUUUAAAAAUUUGCAUGUUAAAUAUCGCAAUUAAAUUUGACAGCCCCAAACCUGCCAGCAAAAGGAUGAGAAAGGUCGCAUGAGUUUAAGAAGAUGGAACGUCAAGUUUUAGGCAAAGUCACCUUGGGAAUGAUUGAAACGUUACAGACAGCAGUGGUGAAUGCACCUGAGAGCAUUAAAGAAACCACAUCUUAAUGGGCUGGAAUCUAGAAAAGGAGUAAACAGUUUGUAAGAGCAACUGUAUAAUUUAUCUAAUGAUCCUCCCUCUCCAUCUGUCCACUGGGUCUAGGAGGGAGCUCAGCUGAAACCAGGAAAAUAAGAUCUUUGAUUAACCUGCUUCAUUAUUUUAGUCACCAUUUAGAUACGUAUUUUAAUAGUUAUGUUGAGAAAAAUAUUCCAGCUUUCAAGAAUGGUGAAAACACUUAAAAAAAAUAAAUACAAAUAUCUAGAAUAUUGUCA